This 271-nucleotide long non-coding RNA is filed under the name Zostera marina. RNAcentral describes it as "long non-coding RNA (ZMAR_LNC000316)". Lineage: Eukaryota; Viridiplantae; Streptophyta; Magnoliopsida; Alismatales; Zosteraceae. The record is from RNAcentral.
GUAACUAAGGUAAGAACUAACAAGUCAUAUAAUUAAUUUUACAGACUUAAAUAAUAAUUAUUAACAAAUCAGUGACAAUCCAGAAUUCCAAUGACAUCACCUUCCCUGCGCUGACAAUCGCAAUACGAAGAAGAUGAAGCAUUGAGAGACAUCGAUGGAACCUUAUUCCGAUGGCAGUGAUAAUUAAACAUCGGAACCUUACUGCUAUUCUUCUUCAUCAACUCUUCUGGGCAACCGAACUUACGAUUCAGUUCGGUCCAACGCCGGAUGU